GCAAUUACUACUGAGAACUCAUCCCCUGAAGUUUGCUCAGGAAUUAGAGAAGCCAAGGAACAAACUUGGGUGGGUGCAGCGGAGCCUGCAAGGACCACCACAUCUCUGUUAAAAUGCUGUGCCACUGACCACCUUCUACUUGUUUACUUAUUUUGGCUCCUGUUUUCAGUCCCUUGCCACAAAGCCACAAACCACAGGAAGGUAGAAAACUACAGCAAAUUGGCUCUCAUACCCAUCCCUGACAAUCACAUCAUUGCUUUAUAGGUCAUGCAAAUGGGAAACUGCAGAAGCUGAGCUGUUCUUGGGAUCUCUAACUCAGUUCUCUGUCAGGGAGACAGGAGUAGUAACAGGACCUCAGAGCAUAAGGCCUCAGACAUGAGCAGAUACCAGCACUCUGGCAGGGAACAGGUCCACUGGAGCUUCUCUCGUGGUCAGGAUUCACACUGAGGGCUUGGACCAUGGCCACAGAGCAGCAGAUGCACAGCCCCAUGACCAUCCUUGAGCAUGCAUGGUCCCCACGGAGCUCAGACCAUGCUUUCUGUGUAUCUAUUGCAUCCUUUCCCUUUUUGAGCUCUGCUUUGCAGAUGAACAGGACUUUCCAUGGACUUUGGAUGAAGCUAAGAGGCGGACAUAUAAUUCAUGCUCAGAAACCACCUUUCAGCUCAUCUGGAAGGACUCCAGGCACCACCACCACCACAUCUCUCUGCCAGUCCAGAAUUAUAAAUCACUUUUCUAUUAAACAGCAGGCUUAAAAAUGCAUCCAUACAUACUUUAAAUAUAUGCAGCCAUCUCUGAUUCCCAGCAGAUGAUCCAAAAAUUAAAGAAUUGUGCCCAA
This 835-nucleotide long non-coding RNA is filed under the name Fukomys damarensis (Damara mole-rat). RNAcentral's name for it is "lncRNA (ENSFDAG00000024085.1)". The record is from RNAcentral. Lineage: Eukaryota; Metazoa; Chordata; Mammalia; Rodentia; Bathyergidae.